UCAUUUGGUUAAUGUAGUUCUGAUAUGACCACAGAGGAAAAAUGCCAUUUUCCUCUUACCAUAUCAAGGAAGGACACAGACCAUCAGUCUAAUUUCUGUUUAUGUAAACACUGAUCACUUGGUUGAGGUAGUGUCUGUGCUUUUCUCCCCCUUAAAGGCAUUAUUUUCCCUCCUCUUUUCAAUACUGUACUUUAUGGAAGACUGAAGGAAUUGACAGUUAUAUUUCCUCUUCCUAAGGGCAGAAUGUUUAAGUAAAUUACUUGGAAUUCAUCUGUACUGGGAGUUUGUUUAUUUCUUUAUUCAGUCAGUUAUUUAUAGAUAUGGAAUCAUGUACACAUUGACAUGGAAUCUUGGACAUUAAUUAAAACUUUGGCUUAUAAUCUAUUUUGUUUAUUUAUUUAUUAUCUUAAAUUGUUCCAGCUUUGGCCAUAGGGAGCACUUUAACUCCUGUGUGCAGUUGACACAGCUCUAAUAUAACUGGGGGGGUGUAAAUUUUUAAUCACUUCUUUACUUUCAUGCACUAUGGGAUGCUCAGGUUCAUCUUGUGUUAUUUCUUCCCUAGUCCUAGAAUCAGCCAUUUCUGCAGAGUGCUUUAGUUCCUUCUCCUGAAGAAUGGUGUUAUAUAAACCACCGUCUGGUAACUGGGCAUCGUAUCAUAUUUUCUUAAGUAAAACAAAAAGACUAAUAAUUCUUGAAUUUCUACAAUACUUGGCACAAGAGGCCAUUGAUCGGUGAUGAAGAUAAAUCUACAGUGGAGUAGUUAAAGAAGACACCAGUUUAUAUAACUAUUGAUCAUUUGCUAUGUGCACUUCUGGCACAAGGACAAAGUCUGUGGAAAAAAGGAUUGGAGUAGUGAAUUGGAAAAUUAGAAGGAAAUCCAGUCUCUUCCAGGCUUUCUCUCCAAGAGUUUCAGGCAAGUGCUCUACCCCUGAGCUACACCUCUACCCUCCAAGAGAUUUAAUAUGCAUUUACCCAGGAAUUUAAUGUGAUCCUUCACUUGCCACUGUCACUUGCCAAGCUAGACCCACGUGGCUCCUCUUCUUCGUGUUCCCAACAACGUCAGUAAGUGUUCUUUACCGUUUUCUCCUGGUCACAUUCCUUAAGCCAUUGCUGUUGCCACCACUCCGGCACUGAUAUGAGAACAGACACUGGUCCUGCCCUUUCUCUGCAUGUCUAACAUGAAUAUGUCACUUCAAACUGGAACAGGCCUUUAAUUUCCUGUCACACAAUUAAAGAUGAAGUUAUAAACACUUGACAAUAAUUUACUGAGGUCUUAAAACUAAGACAGACUAUAAAUCACAGCAAAUUAAAAUUAUUAUAACAGAAGGCUGCUUUUGGAGUGUACAAGUCCAGGCCCACUAUUCGGGAAUCCCAGUGGUGGGAACCUCCUGGCCUGAUUUCUGGGCUGUCUCUGCUAUAUGUGGGGUCAGGUUACUCUUAUCACCUGCAGUGCUUGUGAGUCAUUUUUAUGAGAGUCCGUGCAUAAGCUUCAGUUCGUGAAGGAGUCCUUUUACUUUAGUUUAAGACUGAGUUUCCCAGACAGUAUUUCCUUUCUUUUACUAAGAAAGGGUUCAAAACUUGGGAUACGAAAGGGUGACCAUAUGUCCUUUCUGAGGUAUACCAGAGUGCUGUCUAAGAGAUCUUCCCCAAGCUUGUCAGAUUCCUUAAGAUUCUUUUUUAUUUGCCUCACUAUUUACUAUUGAUAAAGUUCCACACUCUUGCGCA
This is a long non-coding RNA of Chinchilla lanigera (long-tailed chinchilla), 1725 nucleotides long. RefSeq lists it as uncharacterized. The record is from RefSeq and is a predicted model, not a curated record. The transcript is spliced from 3 exons. NCBI's taxonomy places the organism in Eukaryota, Metazoa, Chordata, Mammalia, Rodentia, Chinchillidae.